GCCCGGAUGUUGUAGUGGUAUCAUACGCCGUUCGGAUCGGCGUGGUCCCGGGUUCAAAUCCCGGUUCGGGCC
This is a non-coding RNA of Backusella circina FSU 941, 72 nucleotides long. The record is from the annotation of a GenBank genome assembly. NCBI's taxonomy places the organism in Eukaryota, Fungi, Mucoromycota, Mucoromycetes, Mucorales, Backusellaceae.